CCCUUAGAUGUUCUGGGCAGCACGCGCGCUACAGUGGUCUUCGCAAACGGAUGCAUUCUCGAAGGAGAAUGCCAAUCUUGGAAUCUAUGCCUUGGUCGGGACAGUUGCUUGCAAUUUUUCGACUCGAACCAGGAAUUCCUUGUAAUCGUGAUUCAUCACAUCACGAUGAAUACGUCCCUGCCCUUUGUACACACCGUCCGUCGCUCCUACCGAUCGAAGAGUUAGGUGAAUUGUUUUGAUCGAUAAGAUUUGACUAUGGUCAACUCUCGUUGUGAAAUUCUGUGAAUCUGACUGUUUAGAGGAAGGAAAAGUCGUAACA
RNAcentral lists this ribosomal RNA (319 nucleotides) under uncultured eukaryote. RNAcentral describes it as "partial 18S ribosomal RNA". It matches the Rfam family "Eukaryotic small subunit ribosomal RNA", at positions 1470 to 1796 of the family's 1831-position model. The record is from RNAcentral.